CCAAGAACAGCAUGCUCAAGUUCAUGCUUGUAGUUUGUGCUCUAGCUCAGCAAGCUGUUAGCAACAGCGACCAGACAGGAGAUGCAUCAAUGCAAAGUUGCAUUGGACAGAAAGGUGAAAAGGGUGACUACGGUCUUCCUGGAAUACGUGGGUUAAGAGGUUACAAAGGCGGAUUGGGAGCAGCCGGUCCCAAAGGAGACAGCGGAGCAUCUGGUCCUGCUGGACCUCCUGGUGCUCAGG
Molecule: long non-coding RNA, 240 nt
Organism: Corticium candelabrum
Lineage: Eukaryota; Metazoa; Porifera; Homoscleromorpha; Homosclerophorida; Plakinidae
Exons: 4
Source: RefSeq, a predicted model, not a curated record